AAGAAGUUUCACUUUAAAAUAUCUUCUUUAAAUAUUUUAUAUACAUAUUUCCUUUGUUAAAAUGUGAAAUUCAUAAUUUAUUUAAUUAAUCUACUUCGUGUGUAAAAAGGAAUACUUUUAUUUUGCAUUAUAUCAUACUUCCUGUUUAGUCACUUCCUGUUAGUGUUCCUGGCUCUUUGUGGAAGCCAUGUCAGACAUGCGCUCUCUCGGACAAUCUAAGCCAUCCGCUUAAACUCAUCAUAGAGGCAAUGCCUUUUCACCAUAAAUGCUAAUAAGAAGAGUGACAGUAAAUGAUCAAACUUGCUACGACUCUGUCUUCAUUGGCUAUGGUUUAACUCGGUGUUUAGUCAGUCACAACACACUGCACGAGAACACUACAGUGAAAAGGCAGCUUUGAUGUGAAAGUGGUCAAGAUGUCCGCAAGCAGCAAGUCGUCUGUGCGCAGUGCUAGAAGUGGCAAGUCAUCUGCUUCAUCAGAGAGUGUAACCCGUGCUCGGGCCAGAGCCGAAGCUGCUAAAGUCAGAGCAUCAUACGCUAGCCAAGAGGCUAAACUGAAGAUAGAAAAGGCCACAAGAGAAGCGCAAAAUCAGCUAGAAACAGUAAAAUUAGACACUGAACUGGAAGUGUUAACACUACAACGAGAAGCUGAUGUAGCUGCUGUUGAGGCACAAGUACUGGAAGAUGCUGAAAUAGAAAUGCAUGCUGCAGCUGAAAAAGAAGAAUCC
Danio rerio (zebrafish) is the source of this 725-nucleotide non-coding RNA. NCBI's taxonomy places the organism in Eukaryota, Metazoa, Chordata, Actinopteri, Cypriniformes, Danionidae. The record is from RefSeq and is a predicted model, not a curated record.